Molecule: unclassified non-coding RNA, 2483 nt
Filed under: Portunus trituberculatus (swimming crab)
Lineage: Eukaryota; Metazoa; Arthropoda; Malacostraca; Decapoda; Portunidae
Description: uncharacterized LOC123516897, transcript variant X3
Source: RNAcentral
AGAGAGAGAGAGAGAGAGAGAGAGAGAGAGAGAGAGAGAGAGAGAGAGAGAGAGAGAGAGAGAGAGAGAACAUCCGCCUCUUAACCAGCUUCACACAUUAAGUCACAGUUCAGUGAGUCAGUGACACUGGAGACGAUGGUGGACAGUCCUGCAGUACUGCUUGUGUUCCUUGCACUGGGUCUGGAAGGCAUCCCGAGCCUCGCCUCGGUCCAACAUUGCCACGCCUCACCUGACGUAGUAGUGCCGGGCGGGAGUGUUGAUCCAGUUUACUAUGAAGAGAUACCUGAAGCAAGAAAAAUGUCGGCAACCUUGUUCUUGCAGCAUCUCUUUGGCUUUGAGGGAAUCAGUGUUGAGGCGACUUAUGAAACAUACACUUUAUCCGCCUGGUUCGCCACUGACCAGUGUUGCCCAGGAACACCUCAGAGCUUCACGUGGGUGCCGUUGAAGGUGGAGGUGGAGGUUAAAAAGCAUACCUUUAGAUAUUACUUCCACUACAUGCUGGACUUUGGUGGAUGCGUGAAGGAAUGUAAAAAGCCUUGGGGCUUUACAUUUAAUGACGAUGAUGGGACUCUGAAGGUUGUAGCUCAUGGCUCCUCAAGAUGGAAGUGUGACAGCCCACCACACGCCUGCCUCACCACCUGUAAUACCACCACCACCGCCUCCACCUGCCAGGAACCGUCAACUCAACUGCCUGUACAUUCACCGUCACACUUAUCUCCUUGCAAUGGCACACCCACAUCUGCUGCCACGCCGCCAUCCGCUGUCACACCCACACCGUCUGCCAUGCCCACAACUCAGCCCUCAGUGUUGGUGCAGGUGGCGCCCACAGUACUGGGAGCGGCCUCCCUCGUGAUAAUAGUAGCAGUGUCGGCGGUUCUUUUCCCUAAAAUAAGACGGGGCUGUGUAUUAAGGUUAAGACGGCCGGCAUCCCUUCCAUCCCCGCCCCGCCACCACCGCAACAGUUCUGUCCGCAUCAGUAUGAACUCCUUGUACGAGGCUUAUAGUGGCCCUGAAAGCCUGCAGUGAACGGCGGUACGAGUGUCUGGUACACCCAAGGGCCCGUAUGCUGAGACGCUUUGUUCUCUCAUCACUGCUGUUUUCAAAGGCCACACUGACAAAUAUAUGCUGUGUUAUACACACUGGCCAUGCCCUGCACCCCUCCAUGCACCCCAGUAUUUCCACGUACUCUGAGGGGCACCAUGCACCGGGCUGACCAUCACAAGAUAAGAUGUUUCACAAUUAUUAACAUUUUUUGGUUUAGGUUUAUGUUUGAGGUAUGUCCUUGUAUGUUCUCCUUUUUUAGCUUUCAAUACAUGUUAUCAUCAUUACUCUAUCAUUUCUUGUUCUUGAUCUGUGCCUGUUCGUUUCGCGUCAACAGUUGUGAAACACUCUGUGGUGAUUACGGAUUGGUACUAGAUAUGUUGUGUGCCUUGAAAUGUUGCUCUUGUUCAUCAGUUUACUCUAAGUUGAGAUGAGUUUGGCCACCGUGCUCUACACUGUAUUGUUUGGGCUAAUGAAUCAUAGGGGCGUUUACUGCCUCACAAUUAACCUCUUCAGUACCGUGACGCGUUUCCAUAUUCAUUUUGCUUACUAUUUGAUGAUUUUGAACAGCUUCAGAAACUCAUGAGGGGAUUAAAAUAGUGAAGACUGUAGCCAUGAAUCUUGUGACCUCGCUAAACCCCUUCUAAUGUCAAUAAAAUGGUGUAAUCGAACACAAAUUUCAAGAUAAAAAUGUCUCCCAGUAUUGAAGGAGUUAAGUGGAUCUCUUCAUGCGUAGUACAUACAUACAUAGGUUCUUAAUGUCUAUUCUGGAAUAUGAGGAUGUUACAAGGUUAGAGCAAAUACAGAGGCGUCACCUUCAUAAGCAAAUUAAGUGACUGUUGUUUUGAGCUAUUUCUAAAUUUUUUCCCCUCAGUCAAGUAAUCAAGUAAUCCCUUAGUUUUGCCUAACUCUCUCGGACCUGCAAGGGGAUUGGCAACUGAGUGAGCUCCCCGCCCCCUUGUUUUUUUUUUUACGUUUUAUGUUGAUCUUAACCAGUGUUCCUCUCUUACAUAAAAGAAAUGUUGAGUGUCUGCUGGCAUAGUCGUCUGUGUCCAGUCUUGGGCCUGUAUUCUGGAACGCUUUGCUCUCUCACCGUCACUGCUUUCCAAAGGCUCUAGUUAAUGAUACUUAUGUUUUUAAGAGUAUUUUUAUGGUUCUGGUGAUAGAUUGGCAAGAUUUCUAGUGUAUCGUAAGGAGAAACACCCUUAAAAACCCUGCUAGUGGUGUGUGUGGCCUUGGAAAACUGUCGUAGUGAGAGAGCAAAGUGUAUCUCAAUAUGGCUGUUGGUGUGACAGGGAAGGAAUUCACCUUAACUCUUCAACUUCCCAUUGGUACGACACUUUAAAAAAACAACAACUCAACACUAUGAAGGAAAGUCCAUUAUUAUUAUUAUUAUUAUUAUUAUUAUUAUUAUUAUUAUUAUUAUUAUUAUUAUUAUUAUU